Molecule: ribosomal RNA, 433 nt
Filed under: uncultured bacterium
Lineage: Bacteria
Description: partial 16S ribosomal RNA
Rfam family: Bacterial small subunit ribosomal RNA
Source: RNAcentral
AACGAACGCUGGCGGCAGGCUUAACACAUGCAAGUCGAACGGAUCCUUCGGGAUUAGUGGCAGACGGGUGAGUAACGCGUGGGAACGUACCCUUUUCUACGGAAUAACUCAGGGAAACUUGAGCUAAUACCGUAUGUGCCCUACGGGGGAAAGAUUUAUCGGCAAAGGAUCGGCCCGCGUUGGAUUAGCUAGUUGGUGGGGUAAUGGCCUACCAAGGCGACGAUCCAUAGCUGGUCUGAGAGGAUGAUCAGCCACACUGGGACUGAGACACGGCCCAGACUCCUACGGGAGGCAGCAGUGGGGAAUAUUGGACAAUGGGCGCAAGCCUGAUCCAGCCAUGCCGCGUGAGUGAUGAAGGUCUUAGGAUUGUAAAGCUCUUUCACCGGUGAAGAUAAUGACGGUAGCCGGAGAAGAAGCCCCGGCUAACUUCGUG